GUCCUAGCCUUAAACGAUGAAUGCUUGGUGUCUGGGGUUUUAUAGUCCCCGGGUGCCGUCGCUAACGCUUUAAGCAUUCCGCCUGGGGAGUACGGUCGCAAGACUGAAACUCAAAGGAAUUGACGGGGACCCGCACAAGCGGUGGAGCAUGUGGUUUAAUUCGACGAAACGCGAAGAACCUUACCUGGGCUAGAAUGCCUUCGAUAGCCGUAGAGAUACGGUUUCUUGGGUAAAACCAAGCGGAGUGCAAGGUGCUGCAUGGCUGUCGU
RNAcentral lists this ribosomal RNA (269 nucleotides) under uncultured bacterium. Its description in RNAcentral is "partial 16S ribosomal RNA". It matches the Rfam family "Bacterial small subunit ribosomal RNA", at positions 793 to 1055 of the family's 1533-position model. The record is from RNAcentral.